GCUCUGAGCAGGCCGACAGUCAUAGACGAGUAGACCUUAGGCGAGGGAAGGCAUGUACUUUCCCUAAGAAGCGGGAGGAGAGAAAUAAAUAGAGGGCAGUGGGAUGAGAAGAACCUCGCGGGAUGGGAAGCCGCGGAGGGAAGGGCCGUCUUUGGUUACCUGGAGAGCGGGAGCAGCUGCGGAUCCCUUAUGAAGUGCCCGGAUGAAGCUCCAGCGCUCACGCGCUUUCCGCAUUGAGUGCAGCGCCAUCUUGAGAAGGGCGGAGCCGUCUUGUUUGGAAUGACGUCUGUUCAGAGAGCCAAUCCCAGUCUCGCGACUCCUGCUUGCUGGGCGCGGCUUGGGCCUCCAGGCUGCGCAGCGCAGCCGCUAUCGGGCGGACUGCAGUUCUUGCCGAGCAGUCGCAAUGAUUUGUAUGACAGCUGCUAGCCCAAGAGAGAGUUCCAGAAGAGGGCUACCUAACAGGUGCUGUGGCAUUUAGAAGAGGAAUGGAGCCAUUGUCAACGCACAGCUUGCAGGGGAGCAGGAGAGUCAGUCUAAGAAGGAAAUGUGAUGAUGGAAACAGAGGUUGGAAGAUGGAAGAGGACCCAGAGUCAAGGAAUGCAGAUGGAGUCUUGCUCUGCUGCCCAGGCUGGAGUGCAGUGGACUGAUCUUGGCUCACUGCAGCGUCCAUCUUCCGGGUUCAAGCGAUUCUCCUGCUUCAGCCUCUCAAGUAGCUGGGAUUACAGGCGCCCACCACACCCGGCUAAUUUUUUUUUUUUUUAAUACUUUAAGUUUUAGGUUACAUGUGCACAACGUGCAGGUUUGUUACAUAUGUAUACAUGUGCCAUGUUGGUGUGCUGCACCCAUUAACUCGUCAUUUAGCAUUAGGUAUCUCUCCUAAUGCUAUCCCUCCCCCCUCCCCCCACCCCACAACCGUCCCCAGUGUGUGAUGUUCCCCUUCCUGUGUCCAUGUGUUCUCAUUGUUCAAUUCCCACCUAUGAGUGAGAACAUGCGGUGAUUGGUUUUUUCUCCUUGCAAUAGUUUGCUGAGAAUGAUGGUUUCCAGCUUCAUUCAUGUCCCUACAAAGGACAUGAACUCAUCAUUUUUUAUGGCUGCAUGGUAUUCCAUGGUGUAUAUGUGCCACGUUUUCUUAAUCCAGUCUAUCAUUGUUGAAUAUUUGGGUUGUUUCCAAGUCUUUCCUAUUGUGAAUAAUGCCACAAUAAACAUACGUGUGCAUGUG
Molecule: long non-coding RNA, 1219 nt
Filed under: Homo sapiens (human)
Lineage: Eukaryota; Metazoa; Chordata; Mammalia; Primates; Hominidae
Description: HSALNT0013533
Source: RNAcentral